Anguilla rostrata (American eel) is the source of this 7285-nucleotide long non-coding RNA. RefSeq lists it as uncharacterized. The record is from RefSeq and is a predicted model, not a curated record. The transcript is spliced from 3 exons. Lineage: Eukaryota; Metazoa; Chordata; Actinopteri; Anguilliformes; Anguillidae.
AAAGGAAUCGUGUGGUGUUAAACAAAGGGAAAGGGGCAGUCUGGAGUCUUCAGCGGAAGAGCAGUAAAUGACGGAUAUGGGCGACAUUUCCUAAUUCCUAGAUCUAACUGUGGAGGUAGCCUAAUUGUAUUUUACAACGGGAGACUAGUUGUCCGUGGCACCAUAAGCGUCGAUAGCGACCUUAAACAAUAUCAGUGUCGAAAACUUUCAGUCAAUUUGUUUGGUUUGUUUUUGUACUAGUCUGUCGUUCUUGUGAGAACAUGCUUUCAUGCUUGCGUUUCAGGUGUCUUUAUGAAAUGAAGAGGGCGAUGACCCGAUCUUGCCUUUGUGGCGAAUGAAACUUUCGUAGCAGAUAAUUUAAGGCAUUUAUUAAAAGAGAAUCACCAUUUUCUGUAUUUUAGGAAUUUACACUUGGGAAACAAGUCUGAUAACUGUCUGUUCACAAGAAUAUGCUUCAACUAGCUGACUCUUCUCUUCCCUUGGUCCUUUCUCAUUUGGUGUCUGUGAUUCAUAAGACAAAUCUGCCUGACUGCUUGUAUUAUAGUGUGAAACCCACCUUCACUUCCCACACUGACUUUUUGUGUGUGAAGUCCAUAUAUCUAGGCCAUAUUUACAUUAUCAGUAUUUAGUUUGGCACUUAAUUCUUUGUGAUGGCAUUGAGUGAUUGGCUCAAUUCAAACCCGAAGAGAAAAAAGGACAGCACCCCAAUAUUGCCAUUCAGAUUUAAUAUUUUUAGAUAACGUUUCAGUACUCUGCAUUUCCACAGUUUUUAUUGUUGCUUUGAUCAAACUCCAAACUCUGAAUCAAAACUGUUUUGGUUUAGGUUGGUUUUUUUUCCCAGACAGUGUUACCUUGACAGAUCUUCAGUGGAAUUGACUUAUGCUCUGAGGACCUUGGUGCUUUCUAAUGCUUUUCUUACAACAUGCGGAUGGCUCAUUACUGAUUCAUAUCAGUUAUUCCAAUAAGCAGAUUCAAACUUGUCUUGCUGUCCUUUGAAGAGAUGAACCAUAAUCAGAAUGCCUGGAUUCUCAGCAGAUCCCCCGGAAUAUAGUCGUAGAUUUGCUUACUCAUUUUUUUUUUAAAUUAUGUUAUUUACUCAAAUCAAAGCUGACUUGUAAAUAAUGAUGUGCUUCAUAGUGGUUUUGUUCAAAUGAACUGCCAAUGACUGUCUCACACUGGAAGUUGGAGUUGGAAGAGAGCAUUUGUAUGUGUGGCUUGUGUGGGCACACUGAGAGAUUGUCCGGUCUCUUCCUUCCAGGGUGAUGCCACGGUCAUUUGUACGCUGCCUUCACUGUUGGUACAGUCUUGAUGCUAGUCUGUGUUGCCCAUUCUCACACUUGAAUAGUGCCUUUAGUGGAUGAGCCAUCUUACCGACUCUUUUAUUUAUUUAUUUUUUUAUUGUUUUAAAUGUACUAUUUCUAGAUUCAAUUCUUUGCUAUACUAGUCAAUGGUGUUUUGCAUUAUGCAAAAUGUAAUUGUACGUUCAACCAAUACAAGAGGUGAAUAAUUGUUCUGAUUAAUGCAUCUCCACAGCAGAUGUGUUGUCAUUGCAUUAUUUUUAGUGAUAUUUCACCCUUUGCAUGUACAAAUUUUUAGCAAAAAAUUUUGUGUAAAUGGUUACUUAACUUAUUUCUGAUUAUAAAUAGUAGGACUUGCAAUCGUGACAUUUAAAAACAUGCUUGUUUUAAAAACAACCAUAACAAACAUCCAAAAUUGUGUAAGUGCUAUUAUAGGUUAACAUGGCACAGGUUAAUUGCACAAUAUAUUGUCACCUACCUAAUGACAAUCCCCAAACUAAUACGAUUAUAUUAAAAAAUUACAUGAAAUGUGCAUUUGUAUUACCAAUGAGGUGAUAUUAAGUGCAAAUGUUUAUGCCUGAAAACUGAAAUAAAGCAUUCAUAACCGUUUUCUUUGGAAAUCAAAGGCAUUUGUGAUAUGUUAUGUAUUGCCCAGGCCUUGUGUACAGUAACACUGAGUAAACUGAGAGGAAGAAAUGACUGCAGCAAUGCAGAGAAACAGUCUACAGUAGAACUUACCUUGAUAUGAAAAAUGCUGUUACAGAGCAAAACAAGAAAUGUAUAAUGAAUGUAUAAGAAAUGUUUUUAUUGGAAAAAGUAGUACUACUGCAAUUGGAGAAGCAUUAGGUGCCUAGAGUAAGCACAAGAGUGGUUAAAGUGCCUGAAUUGAAAUGGGCUUGCUUUGCUAUAUAAGCUCAUUUGUAUGUAGUGUGAUUUGAAAUGUAGCCCACACCUUUGGAUAACUGAUUGAUUGUGAAAAGGAGCUCAUAUUUUAAUGUGAAUGCAGGUGAUUGCGGAUUGGACUUCCAGGGAAGACAUUAGAAUUUAAUAGAAGUGCAUGAAGUCUCAUUGCAAUUACAACAAAAUUAAAUCCAUCUGAUCUUUAUUUUAGAAUUAGUUAUAUUACUGGGUUAUAUGAUACUCUUGAUAUCACCGGGUAUUAUUGGGACUAGAUUUUUAGUGUUUUAAAUGCAUUGUUAUGCUUUAAAAAGGUCAAUUUAGUUUCUUGCGUGCAUGUUGUCCAGAGAGGUAUGGGUCACCCGUGGGAUUUUCUUUGUUUCAUGGUGCACUGAUGACUUCAUCUGUUUGACAGCAUGCACAUAGUCUACCUGCUAUGGCUGCUGCUGAGGUGCGCUCUUCUGAUGCUGUGACUUCACAGCUCAGCUUGACGGAGGAAGUGGCAGUGAUCCUGUGAAUACGAUUGCCAAUUGAAAAUUUGGAGGAGAAAGGGAAAAAAUUUGGGGAUAAAAUUUGUUUUUAGGUAGUGUGGUAGUGUGGCAUGUAUAAGCUGUGACAAGACGUUCACAUGAAAGCUACGGGACAACUUUCCUGAAACAUUUGUUGGGUUAGAAAUAGUAAUUUUCAAAUGCAUAGAAGAUAUUGCUCAAUUGGGUCCACAACUCGGUCUUCCAGUGAUUGUGUUCAAAUCCAAAUGAGCAAAAGAACACUUUCACAUUGAUUUAGUAGGAAAUAAAACAUAAUAGUUUGUCCUUAUGUUAGGAUUUGUGUAGUGAAUUGAAUCUUGAAUGCUUUGGAAACUCAUCCAUGUAACAAGUAAAUACUGUAUUGAAAAAGAUAAAUAGCUUUCAUAGAGCGUGGUUUAACCUCUGUGUCCAACUUCAACAUUAUUUCUUCUGAGAGGUCCUUAAUCUUCCCACUAGUAGCAGUGUUGUUCAUUUGAGAUCUGACAUUAUGUCCUGUCAAUAAAAUCUGCCCCCAGUGUAUAUAGCUACACAAUUAUAAUUUCAUUGCCGUGCCUUUCUCUUUUUAGCCAAUGAGAUAGAGCAGCAAGUGAAUGUUGGUGGCCAAAGUCAGCUAGCCAGUGUUUGGCUACCUUUGUCAUUUUUAGGAUGGCUAUUAUGAUACCCCAUAAUCUGGCUUGUUUUACAUGUCAGCUUCCUAUUUCAGAAUUGUGAUGCAAUAUUUGUAACAGGCACGUCAGUUGGGUUGGUUACCCAUUGUCAUUAAUAAUUAUGACUUGCUACCACAGUCUGUACUAGGGCCGCAAUAAUAAAAACUAAUCAAGUUAUCGAUUACAAGAAAGAAUCAACAAGAGUUUUGGCAUGGUGUUGAAUUGCUCUAAUAAUAUAGCAUCCUUAUGAUUUAUCAAAAGUGUCCGUCGGUGAACAAGUACAGCUGAGCACUUUUCCAGGAAAAUUAUUGAAAUAGUCUGGCUGUUGCAGAUUAAAGCCUGAAUGCAAUUGUAUGUUUGAAAUUUGGGGAAGUUGUGGACUGGAGAUCAAGUAUUGUUCAUAUCCUUGAUUAUGUCAGUAACUUAAGCAUUGUUUAAAAAUACUUAGAAAAUAGUAAUAAUUCGAGUAAUCGAUAACCAAAUAAAUGCUGCUGCUCUAGUCCGUACUGAAACCUGAAAUAGGGAAAUUGAUUUUGGAGAAUUCAGCCAUGCUGUAUGCGAUUGUGUUGUCAAUGACAGCGCUUCUGAACUACAGUCAACCUGUUUGGACAACAGAGAUGCCCUUAACUUCAUCUAUUGCUGGCGGGUAUGUACUGACUACUGCUGUCAGUUAUUUGCUGACUACAGCUGUCAGUUAUGUACUGACUGUAGUGGUCAAUUAUGUUCUGCCUGUUGGUGGCAAUUAUAUACUGACUCCUGCUGUCAGGUAUGUACUGACUAGUGCUGUCUUGUGACGCUCAUGACUUGUCGUUGUCUCUGCUUGUUGCCUAGACCCAAAUUUAGCACUUUUGAGAAGCCACUUUAUCCACCACAUGGUACCGGCUCAACUUGACUCGACUCUACUCGUUUUUGGUACCAGGUACUUUGUUUUCCACUGCAGAUAGUACCCCCGUCAAUGUAGCUGGUCGUCAUAGCGACACCGCAUGAAACUGCUGUGAUGUCAUCCUCAACGCGACACACACAGGAACAAUGGAAGAUAUCGAAGUGAUGGUGUUCUUGAUUCUCAGUAUGUGGCUGUUUGUCACAGCAAGGAGACAAAUUUUGUUUCAGAGGAGGAUGAAGGCAGCAAGACAGAAGACUGCUGAAAAAAAACAGGAGAGUUCGGGAAAUCCUACAUCAGAGCUCAGAUGACGAGACAACCCUGGUUGCUCAUUAGCAUAAAAGGCGACGCAAGAAGGUAAGCUAACCUAGUGACGAUUCUCUCUGACCAAUCAGUGGUCUGCAGUGUUUUCACAUCACCUUUUGGUAUCGCCUCAGAUCGCUUGGAACCACGACGGAUUUGAUACCAAAAAAACGUACCAGGUACUAUCCACAACUUUUGCCCGAUGGAAAACCAAAAAAGUCGAGUCGAGUUGAGCCGGUACCAUGCGGUGGAAAAGCGGCAUAAGUCGAUCUGGAUAAGUUGAAGUGUUGAAGUGAACACCUAAUGAAGUGGCUAGUUAAGCUGACUAAAAUAUCUACCUCAGGUGCCUUUUGGACUUUUGCCAGUUUCAUGCUCUGCGUUGGGAAAAGUCCAUAUGUUCGGUAGCCAUAACUAAGACUGGGUGUUUGUCACAGAUGUCGCAGAUACUGUGAUUUUUGCCAUUUUUUGGCGGUUCCUUGACUUUCCUGAUUUUUGGCAUCUCUACGAUUUCCUGUUUUUAGUACUUUCUGUGCUUUUUUUCAGCAAUUUUGGAUGAGGUGCUCCAUCAAAGACCAAAUCUAGCAAUGUACAACGCAUUGUACCAAAACAAACUUUAAAAGAUAAAGUUCGUCACAUGGUUUAUUUCAGUAAUGCAAUUUGCGCUCUAUUUUGAACAACAUUGUGUUAAAGGCAGAACAGCAUGCUCUUUCUGUCUGUGAUGGACCAAACUAAGUAAUUAAAAGCAUCAGCUUAUCAAUGUAUUUUACUUGUGAGCUGUUUGUUCCUAGGAGCCGGCUACUGCCCGUUGAACGUUGUUUGAACCUCAAGCACUUGUUGCUGUUGCUACAGCUGCGCAUGUUAUUCCAGUCAUUUCCCACUGCUGCGCAUGAGAUUUGUUAACUUAAUAAAUCAACUUUUUUUAAAAAACUUGUUUUCUUCUGCUUUUUCCAGUUUUAUGUGAUUUUCAACAACUUUGCCUUGACGUUUCUGCUCUUCAGCCAGUAUUAUCUGUGUCAAACACCCAGCCUUAGCCAUAACUACUCACAUAUACUGUAGAAAGGAGAUUGAAAAUGCUACAGUGAAACAGCUGUGGAGCUGGGCUUGUAGCCAGAGCUUUGCAGGGUUGAAUCCCAGGGGUAAUGCUAUUGUAAGUUUUUGUGAAGGUGUUCAACCAGAUUGCUGCAGUAAAUGUAAAUUGUGCCAGUUCAGUGAGUAUGUGAUAUGUGAAAAGUUCUACCACACAAGUAAAGUCACACGGGUACCUUGCGCUAACUUGUAUUACAGAGUAAUCUGUGACUUAAUCAAAUAAUUUUUGGCUGUGUCCAUAGGCAGUUUACUGGUUUGAUUGCACACACCCUGAGUGGGCGGCAGAGCUGGUUCCACCAGCCGUAGUGAAAUCAUAUGUUGUCCGGUAGCUUAGAGGAUUUCAUUGCACGUAACUGGCUGCUCUGCUCAUCAGUCACAAAAUCAUGCCAAGCAAGCAGCUGUUCCGGCAGUCCUUCCUCUGUUUGUGCACAUGGUCCUAGUGCCCACUGCCUGAAAGCGCUGAAGAUUUGAAGAAUGAAAAUGGUCAAACUGAUAGCAGAGGCUGACGCCGGUUUGCAGCGGUAGACAACCGGUAAAACCAGGCAGGCCGCAUUGCACUCCAGCCCCAGGACAGCUUUUUGUCAUAUGAUGGACUUUCUGUCUUCCUGCUGGCAGCUGUGAGAGACUGAAUAUUUCUUCAAUUUGCGAUUCAUAUAGUUAAAGGGGCAGUUCAUCCAAAAAUGAUAAUGAAAGUAUGUUUCCACUUACCCAGAAUGCUGUAUGUUCAUUGAGGUAGUUUUGCUGGGAUUUGACAUUUUUUAGAUCUCUAGCUUUUGUGGCCUCAAAAAAAACUUGCAUCUGUUUCCAAAUAUGAUACCUUGGUUACUCAGAAGUGUACGGUUUCUUCAAAAACUACUUUCUGUGAAGUACACCAACUGUAUAUCCACAAAAAGUGUCAAACAAAGCAGGCCAAAAUUCUGGAGCACAUUGUCAACAUUGUUAAAAUAUCAUUUUUAACAACAUUGGCACUGCGUUAUCUGGAUGGAUAGAUAAUAUCUUGGUAAGCAGAAACAUACCUUAAUUUCAUUUUUGGGUGAACUUCCACUUUAAGCUGAAGAAGACAGUCAAUCUGUACACAGAUAAUUAGCGAAAACAAUAUGACUACAGAUCUAAAAUCAUUUAAUGGGCGAUUAGACCACCUCCUGUGGUUGGCCGAGUCUGUUUGCACCAUAGAGUUCAUACAUGCUGCCAGCGUCUGGAAUUCAACAGGAGGAACGCAGUACUAGUCUUCCCCAAGUCGAUCAGCCCAACAGGAAAAUGUCAUCUUGGGUGUCAUUAUAUCACAGAAAUAUUUAGAUUUGGUAAAGAUUUGGCCUGCUGCUAGGGAUAACAUGUUGGGCUCCUCAGACCGCUUGGGCUGUGUGGUGGGAGCCUCGUCUUGACAGAUGGAUUAUAGCCCUUAGACUGUAUAAAAUGUAGAUACAGCGACUCCAAUAGAAACCUAUGGGGAGCAUAUCAGAACCAGGAAGUACCGUUUUUCGCUCAAUAGACAAACUCAGUUGUGUCCUUGGUCACAUGCCUACAUCACGUGUACAACGAGGAUAGCACAGACAUUGGCUAAAAUAAAUAAUAAAUAAAAAAUUAAUAUCUUUGUCUGCGUGGUAGGAAAAAAAUAUUUUACCUCUGAAAAAUAAGUGAUUUUUCUUC